AGACAGACAGACUGGACAGACAGACAGACUACACUAGACAGACAGACUACACUAGACAUAUAGACUGGACAGACAGACAGACUACACUAGACAUAUAGACUGAACAGACAGACAGACUACACUAGAUAUAUAGACUGGACAGACAGACUACACUAGACAUAUAGACUGGACAGACAGACAGACUACACUAGACAUAUAGACUGGACAGACAGACAGACAGACUACACUAGACAUAUAGACUGGACAGACAGACAGACUACACUUGACAUAUAGACUGGACAGACAGACAGAGACUACACUAGACAGACAGACUGCACAGACAGACAGACUACACUAGACAUAUAGACUGAACAGACAGACAGACUACACUAGAUAUAUAGACUGGACAGACAGACUACACUAGACAUAUAGACUGGACAGACAGACAGACUACACUAGACAUAUAGACUGGACAGACAGACAGACUGCACUAGACAUAUAGACUGGACAGACAGACUACACUAGACAUAUAGACUGGACAGACAGACAGACUACUACACUAGACAUAUAGACUGGACAGACAGACAGAGACUACACUAGACAUAUAGACUGGACAUACAGACAGACUAGACUAGACUGGACAGACAGACUACACUAGACAGACAGACUGGACAGACAGACAGACUACACUAGACAUAUAGACUGGACAGACAGACUACACUAGACAGACAGACUGGACAGACAGACAGACUACACUAGACAUAUAGACUGGACAGACAGACUACACUAGACAUAUAGACUGGACAGACAGACUACACUAGACAUAUAGACUGGACAGACAGACAGACUACACUAGACAUAUAGACUGGACAGACAGACUACACUAGACAUAUAGACUGGACAGACAGACAGACUAGACAUAUAGACUGGACAGACAGACUACACUAGACAUAUAGACUGGACAGACAGACUACACUAGACAGACAGACUACACUAGACAUAUAGACUGGACAGACAGACUACACUAGACAUACAGUGGGGAGAACAUGUAUUUGAUACACUGCCGUUUUUGCAGGUUUUCCUACUUACAAAGCAUUUUAUUGCAUGACAUAAGGAUUUGAUCACCUACCAACCAGUAAGAAUUCCGGCUCUCACAGACCUGUUAGUUUUUCUUUAAGAAGCCCUCCUGUUCUCCACUCAUUACCUGUAUUAACUGCACCUGUUUGAACUAGUUACCUGUAUAAAAGACACAUGUCCACACACUCAAUCAAACAGACUCCAACCUCUCCACAAUGGCCAAGACCAGAGAGCUGUGUAAGGACAUCAGGGAUAAAAUUGUAGACCUGCACAAGGCUGGGAUGGGCUACAGGACAAUAGGCAAGCAGCUUGGUGAGAAGGCAACAACUGUUGGAGCAAUUAUUGGAAAAUGGAUGAAGUUCAAGAUGAGGGUCAAUCACCCUCAGUCUGGGGCUCCAUGCAAGAUCUCACCUCGGUGGGGCAUCAAUGAUCAUCAUAAUUAAUGCAAAUUAAUUACUUAAAAAUCAUACAAUGUGAUUUUCUGGAUUUUUGUUUUAGAUUCCAUCUCUCACAGUUGAAGUGUACCUAUGAUAAAAAAUUACAGACCUCUACAUGCUUUGUAAGUAGGAAAACCUGCAAAAUCGGCAGUGUAUCAAAUACUUGUUCUCCCCAUUGUAUAUACUGUGCUGGACAGACAGACAGACUGGGAUGUACAGAGAGACAGACUAUACUGGACAGACAGACACAUUUACUGGGCUGUCAAGCGUAGUCUGUCUGUCUAGUAUGUCUGUCUUUCCAGUGUAGUCUCUCUCUCUGUCUCUCUCUCUCUUUCAAUUGUUCAAGUCAAUUCCAUUUGCGUUAUUGGCAUGAUGUAAGAAUGUACAUAUUGCCAAAGCUUACUUUGGAGAUUUACAAUAUUAACAUAAUUAAUAAUAAUAAUGAUCAAUAUUGUCAACAGUAACAACAAUAAUCAACAAUACAUUGAACAAUAACUUUAAACAGGUUGAUUGGUCUGUCAGACACUGUCCCUCAUCUAUUGGCUGGCAGCAAUGUAGUGUGCUGCCAACCCACAGCUCUCUGUGUCCUCCCCCAACAGGACGGGUAGCCUGUCCUCAUCAGAGAGGUCUUUGAAAUCUUGAAUAAGGUUUUACAUUUGGGGAAAUGACACUCUCUAUUUGUUUUAUAUUUUUGACAUUUUGUCAGGAAAUGCAGCUCCGUCUCAGGUUCUGCUGUGGUGCAGACCUUUCCCCUAUAGGUUUUCCUGUUGUGAAGUGGUGUAGUGGUUGCACAGCCUUUCCUCUACAGGGAGCCAGGUUUUCCUGUUGUGAAGUGGUGUAGUGGUUGCACAGCCUUUCCUCUACAGGGAGACAGGUUUUCCUGUUGUGAAGUGGUGUAGUGGUUGCACAGCCUUUCCUCUACAGGGAGACAGGUUUUCCUGUUGUGCAGUGGUGUAGUGGUUGCACAGCCUUUCCUCUACAGGGAGACAGGUUUUCCUGUUGUGAAGUGGUGUAGUGGUUGCACAGCCUUUCCUCUACAGGGAG
Oncorhynchus tshawytscha (Chinook salmon) is the source of this 2537-nucleotide long non-coding RNA. NCBI's taxonomy places the organism in Eukaryota, Metazoa, Chordata, Actinopteri, Salmoniformes, Salmonidae. The record is from Ensembl.